Molecule: ribosomal RNA, 461 nt
Filed under: uncultured bacterium
Lineage: Bacteria
Description: partial 16S ribosomal RNA
Rfam family: Bacterial small subunit ribosomal RNA
Source: RNAcentral
CCUACGGGUGGCAGCAGUGAGGAAUAUUGGUCAAUGGGCGCGAGCCUGAACCAGCCAAGUCGCGUGAAGGAAGACUGUCCUAUGGCUUGUAAACCUCUUUUGUCGAGGAACAAAGUGCGCCACGCGUGCCGUUCCGAAUGUACCCUAAGAAUAAGCAUCGGCUAACUCCGUGCCAGCAGCCGCGGUAAUACGGAGGAUGCGAGCGUUAUCCGGAUUUAUUGGGGUUAAAGGGUGCGUAGGCUGGGUGGUAAGUCAGCGGUGAAAUGCCCACGCUCAACGGGGUGAAGUGCAAUUGAUACUGCCUUGCUGGAAUGCGGAUGCGGUGGGAGGAAUGUGUGGUGUAGCGGUGAAAUGCAUAGAUAUCACACAGAACACCGAUUGCGAAGGCAGCCUACGAAUCCGCGAUUGACGCUGAUGCACGAAAGUGUGGGUAUCAAACAGGAUUAGAUACCCGAGUAGUC